GACGAACGCUGGCGGCGUGCUUAACACAUGCAAGUCGAACGGAAAGGCCCUGCUUUUGUGGGGUGCUCGAGUGGCGAACGGGCGAGUAACACGUGAGUAACCUGCCCUUGACUUUGGGAUAACUUCAGGAAACUGGGGCUAAUACCGGAUAGGAGCUCCUGCUGCAUGGUGGGGGUUGGAAAGUUUCGGCGGUUGGGGAUGGACUCGCGGCUUAUCAGCUUGUUGGUGGGGUAGUGGCUUACCAAGGCUUUGACGGGUAGCCGGCCUGAGAGGGUGACCGGCCACAUUGGGACUGAGAUACGGCCCAGACUCCUACGGGAGGAAGCAGUGGGGAAUAUUGCACAAUGGGCGGAAGCCUGAUGCAGCAACGCCGCGUGCGGGAUGACGGCCUUCGGGUUGUAAACCGCUUUCGCCUGUGACGAAGCGUGAGUGACGGUAAUGGGUAAAGAAGCACCGGCUAACUACGUG
RNAcentral lists this ribosomal RNA (468 nucleotides) under uncultured bacterium. Its description in RNAcentral is "partial 16S ribosomal RNA". It matches the Rfam family "Bacterial small subunit ribosomal RNA", at positions 28 to 507 of the family's 1533-position model. The record is from RNAcentral.